AUCCCUCCCAGCAUCAGAGUCUUUUCCAAUGAGUCAACUCUUCACAUGAGGUGGCCAGAGUAUUGGAGUUUCAGCUUUAGCAUCAGUCCUUCCAAAGAACACCCAGGACUGAUCUCCUUUAGGAUGGACUGGUUGGAUCUCCUUGCAGUCCAAGGGACUCUCAAGAGUCUUCUCCAACACCCAUGAACAGUAUGAAAAGAGACACCCUGGAGAUGACUUAAUACCUGAAUGGGGUGGCUGUGCUUGACAAAAUCACACUAUGGCAAAUGGACGAUGCUGCAGGUAGUAUUGGCAGGAUGUUAAUGAAAAUGGAAGGAAAGCAGUGCCUACUGUAUUCUGGGCUACAUCCAUGACUUGGGAUGCUAUCCCAUCCCUGGAGGCUGAGCAGGUGUGGGUCCCAAUUGUGAACUUGUGUGGGGUAGACACAACCUGGCAAGGUUCCCUUCAUUGAACCGUUUUUAAAGUUUUCUUGUGUGCUCCGUCUGGCUGGGACAAUAGUCCCACAUAGAAUCAAGGACCUGAGGAAUUUCAUGGCAAAAUUCAGCUGGCCUCAAUCUCUGCUGGAGCUGGGGAUUCCAGCUCAAGCCUUCUCUUCCUUGGGAGUGCUGCCUCCUAGCACCUAAGCAGCCUCUGCAGUGUACUGUGGAUACUGAAGGGAUUACUCUGCAUGGUUCCUUUGUGUGUGAAGCCUUAGAGGGAAAGAGUGGUGAGGCUCAAGAUCUUUCCUCUUUUCCCAAAUUUCACUCUGUUUCACAGCCCAGGAAGCCAACUUGCCUUCAGACUUUGCUUCCCGCCAGGAACUAAAGGGUCUCAUGAAAAGUGCUGCCGCCUUGUGGACAUUUUUGUAACUACAACUUGAUCACCCUUGCACACGGGCACCUCAAUUCACAAGGCCUGGGGUUCCGAUAAUGACAGCUGCCCUCAAGAAAUGUCCUGUGGCUGGCACCUGAGAAAUAAAUUCCCAACAGAGCCGACGUUCAGGAAGCCUACCGCCAAAGGCACCUCAAUUCACAAGGCCUGGGGUUCCAAUAAUGACAGCUGUCCUCAAGAAAUAUCCUAUGACUGGCACUUGAGAAAUAAAUUCCCAACACGGCUGACAUUCAGGAAGCCAACUGCCAAAGGUAAAUUGUCCUCACACCCUUUAAGUGGGGGGAGGAAAACUCCCCUCUCAAACAAGUCCCUCAAAGCUGCAUGACAAUCAAAUGGCGAAUAGAAAAUUAAGUGGCAACACUUAACGGGCCAAUGACAGAAGUCUACCCACAAUAAAUACAGGAGAGAGUCUGGAGGAAAAAGAACC
RNAcentral lists this long non-coding RNA (1297 nucleotides) under Bos indicus x Bos taurus (hybrid cattle). RNAcentral's name for it is "lncRNA (ENSBIXG00005013318.1)". The record is from RNAcentral. Lineage: Eukaryota; Metazoa; Chordata; Mammalia; Artiodactyla; Bovidae.